RNAcentral lists this ribosomal RNA (253 nucleotides) under uncultured bacterium. RNAcentral's name for it is "partial 16S ribosomal RNA". It matches the Rfam family "Bacterial small subunit ribosomal RNA", at positions 524 to 776 of the family's 1533-position model. The record is from RNAcentral.
UACAGAGGGGGCAAGCGUUGUUCGGAAUUACUGGGCGUAAAGGGCGCGUAGGCGGCCCUGUAAGUCUUGGGUGAAAUCCCUCGGCUCAACCGAGGAAUUGCCUUGGAUACUGCAGGGCUCGAGGCUGGAAGAGGGCAGUGGAAUUCCCGGUGUAGCGGUGAAAUGCGUAGAUAUCUGGAGGAACACCGGUGGCGAAGGCGGCAUCCUGGACCGACAUUGACGCUGAGGAGCGAAAGCUAGGGGAGCAAACGGG